CCAACCCCAGAAAAAAUCACCGGAAAAGAACCAUUCACGCGCCCCCACGCGCCGGCGCGUGGUACCUCUUCCGGCCAUUUUUUCCGGUGACUCCUUCAGGACAGUUUGCUCGCCCUUUAAUUCCGACCCUACCCAUCCUUUUUUUCGUUCGAUUCCGACAACUUUCAGUUUUUUCCGGCGACUUUAUUGACUUUUUUGGCAGCUACAGUACUUUCCGGCCAGAAUUUCUUCAGGACAGUUUGCUCAACCUUGAAUUCCGAGCCUAUCCAUAUUUUUAUUUUUCAAUUCCGACAACUUUGAAUUUUUCCGGCAGCUACAGUACUUUACCGGCAGCUACUGUGUUCCAGUUUUCCGGCAGCGCCAGUUGUCAGUUCUCUGUUUCAGUUUUAGCGAGUUUUCAGUUGGUAAUCCAAAGAUGUCUUUGGGACUAGAGGCUUUUGGGUCUAGAAACCAGGGUUCUGGCAGUUCCGGUAUUAUGAUUACCUCAGAACCUUUAAUGGG
RNAcentral lists this long non-coding RNA (501 nucleotides) under Nicotiana benthamiana. Its description in RNAcentral is "long non-coding RNA (NBEN_LNC037394)". The record is from RNAcentral. Lineage: Eukaryota; Viridiplantae; Streptophyta; Magnoliopsida; Solanales; Solanaceae.